CCUCUCAGCGACUUAAGUUUGUUUUAAGUAGUCGCCACAUUUUAGUCAACAAAAGAAAUUAUGCCUUACAAACAGCAGUUUAUGGCAAGAGUCUUUGGUGGAUUCAUCGGAUAAUCACCACAACGCUUCACAUUUUGGAUGAGAGGAAGUUCGCACGGAUAAAGAAAAGGAUCGGGCGUACAACACGGAUCAGAUUCACGGAACGCACAACAAAGCCACGGCUGUCUCUACCAUUGCAACACAGAGAGAGCACGUCAGGCAACACGCAGCAGCUGAAACGCGUAGGCUUACCAGCUUUGUGUUUGUUCAUGCUGUGUAUUUGUCGAUAUUUGAACACAGUUUGAGCGAUUCAUUGCUGCUUGUCCAUUGGGGACGUUUGCGCGAUUGUGCAGUGUUUGUACGGUGCUUUCUCGUUCUGUUGAUUGAGGUACCCAGAGCUCUGGUCUGUGAUGUGGGAUAAGUUUGUGAAUGCUGAAAUAAUAUUGUGCCGUUGUGGGAAUUUCAACGAAUGCUGUUCAUUUGGUUUAUUGAGCGUUGAGGGUACGCCAGUGGUUUAUGCGUAUUGAAUCGAGUGCCGUCGGUUUUGUGGACGUGCUGUGGGUGCACAAACAAGUGAUUGUGCGUUGUAUUGAGAAAAGGCAACAUGAGUGAAUCAAACACUUGUCUUGACGUCAAUGGCUCUGAAAGGGAAGAGGGCAAAAGAGAAGUUAAACUCACUGCCAAGGCUUUGGCGAAUAAAAUUGAAACUCUUCAAAAGGAACGUAAAACAAAUGUAGACAAGAUUAAAGGUUUAAUACCGGCAAUCAAGGGUCUCAUGAGAAAGAAGGAAAAUGCCCCACAGGUGCAAUCUCAAUUGGAGAAUUUAAUCCAACUUUGUGAAGCUGCCACUAAGUUACACGAUUCAGUGCUUACUUUAAUUCCUGAGGAUGAAGAGGAAAGACAAAAAGAAUGGUUCACAAGCAUUGAAAAAUACAGCAGUGCAUUCAAAGAGGAUGUGAAACCAUGGUUGACUGAAACUGAGAAAUCAUUUUACAUUGGCCAUGUUCAAUCUGAUUCUGUUGCAAUAAAUGAAGGCAUACCCCACAUUCAGUCCGAUGAUGUGCCUCAAGUGCCAACGCGUACUAUGACUCCAGUUAUAACAUAUGACAUACAAGAUGAUGAUGCGAAACCUAGUGACAGUGUGUCAAAAGCAGAAGGUCCGGCACACACAACUCUGCUACAGGAAGAAAAUCUUCUGCAUCAACUACCUCCUCUGCACGCAUUAAGGCAGAAGCUGAUCUGGCUGCUCUGGUGGCUCAUCAAAAAUCAUUAAAGGACAAACAUGCACUGGAAGAGCAAGAGGAACAUCUCCGGAAAAGAAAAGAGAAGCUGGACUUGGAGGAAGAAAUCACUGCGCAUAUGGAUAAAACUUUGUCAACGGUCGUGCACUGCCUCAGAAUCCUCUUCUCUCUGGAUCUCAGCCAUGUCGAAUGAUGCUGCAGGUGUGGCAUCAGCUGCCAUUUCUGGAGUUUCUCUGCUAAACGACAUCGUUCAGGAGUCCAUCAACGCAAGCAGUAGAAGUGUCUCCAUUCAUCUAACCAACAACUGCGAAUCAAAACUCCUCAUAAAUCCACAGGUUUACACCAACAGCGGUUACUGCUGUGACCCCCCACAACCCACAGUGGGACAGGGGGUCACAGAAACAUGCGGUUUUGAAAAUACGAAAGGAGCUGCAUGUGGUGCUGUUGGGGUCCUGACCUAUGACAUCACUGAAGACCGGAAGACGAAGGCAGUCAAGCGUCUGGCCAUCAUGUUCUCUGUACCUUUUGACUAUGCUUCCUUUGAAAACUGGUUUGCUGUGGGUUUGUUUGACACUGCUCAAGCAUGUGAUUCUUAUCUGUAUAAUCUCAUGUAUAAUAAUGAAGGAUCUUUCAAACGGGAGAAGGCAUCUGGUUCAGAAA
Anguilla anguilla (European eel) is the source of this 1940-nucleotide long non-coding RNA. RefSeq lists it as uncharacterized. The transcript has 3 exons. The record is from RefSeq and is a predicted model, not a curated record. Lineage: Eukaryota; Metazoa; Chordata; Actinopteri; Anguilliformes; Anguillidae.